GACGUAGGGGGCGAGCGUUGUCCGGAUUUAUUGGGCGUAAAGAGCUCGUAGGCGGUUGCGUAAGUCGGAUGUGAAAACUCAGGGCUCAACCCUGAGACGCCAUCCGAUACUGCGCUGACUCGAAUCCAGUAGGGGAGUGUGGAAUUCCUGGUGUAGCGGUGAAAUGCGUAGAUAUCAGGAGGAAUACCGAUGGCGAAGGCAGGUCUCUGGGCUGACACUGACGCUCAUGCACGAAAGCGUGGGGAGCAAACAGG
RNAcentral lists this ribosomal RNA (254 nucleotides) under uncultured bacterium. Its description in RNAcentral is "partial 16S ribosomal RNA". It matches the Rfam family "Bacterial small subunit ribosomal RNA", at positions 524 to 776 of the family's 1533-position model. The record is from RNAcentral.